Molecule: ribosomal RNA, 119 nt
Filed under: Pteropus alecto (black flying fox)
Lineage: Eukaryota; Metazoa; Chordata; Mammalia; Chiroptera; Pteropodidae
Source: RNAcentral
GUCUGCGGCCAUGCCACCCUGAAUGAGCCCGAUCCCGUCUGAUCUCGGAAGCUAAGCAGGGUCAGGCCUGGUUAGUCCUUGGAUGGGAGACCACCUAGGAAGACCAGAUGCUGUAGGCG